CCUACGGGAGGCAGCAGUGAGGAAUAUUGGUCAAUGGGCUUACGCCUGAACCAGCCAAGUCGCGUGAGGGAAGACUGCCCUAUGGGUUGUAAACCUCUUUUGUCAGGGAGCAACGCCGGCUACGUGUAGCCGGACUGAGAGUACCUGAAGAAAAAGCAUCGGCUACCUCCGGGCCAGCGGCCGCGGUAAUAGGGAGGAUGGGGGCGUUAUCCGGAGUUAUUGGUUUUAAAGGGUGCGUAGGAGGAAGGCAAGCUCAGCGGUAAAAUCGCGGGGCUAAACCUGGAGCCGCCGUUGAAACUGGCGUUCUUGAGAGUGGGAGAGGUAUGCGGAAUGCGUGGUGUAGCGGUGAAAUGCUUAGAUAUCACGCAGAACUCCGAUUGCGAAGGCAGCAUACCGGACUACAACUGACGCUGAAGCACGAAAGCGUGGGUAUCGAACAGGAUUAGAUACCCCAGUAGUC
This 460-nucleotide ribosomal RNA is filed under the name uncultured bacterium. RNAcentral's name for it is "partial 16S ribosomal RNA". It matches the Rfam family "Bacterial small subunit ribosomal RNA", at positions 338 to 795 of the family's 1533-position model. The record is from RNAcentral.